CCUACGGGAGGCAGCAGUGAGGAAUAUUGGUCAAUGGGCGCGAGCCUGAACCAGCCAAGUCGCGUGAAGGAUGACUGCCCUACGGGUUGUAAACUUCUUUUAUAAAGGAAUAAAGUGCGGCACGUGUGCCUUUUUGUAUGUACUUUAUGAAUAAGGAUCGGCUAACUCCGUGCCAGCAGCCGCGGUAAUACGGAGGAUCCGAGCGUUAUCCGGAUUUAUUGGGUUUAAAGGGAGCGUAGAUGGGUUGUUAAGUCAGUUGUGAAAGUUUGCGGCUCAACCGUAAAAUUGCAAUGGAUACUGGCAGGCUGGAGUGCAGGUGAGGUAGGCGGAAUUCGUGGUGGAGCGGUGAAAUGCUUAGAUAUCACGAAGAACUCCGAUUGCGAAGGCAGCUUACUAAACUGCAACUGACAUUGAUGCUCGAAAGUGUGGGUAUCAAACAGGAUUAGAUACCCGAGUAGUC
This 460-nucleotide ribosomal RNA is filed under the name uncultured bacterium. Its description in RNAcentral is "partial 16S ribosomal RNA". It matches the Rfam family "Bacterial small subunit ribosomal RNA", at positions 338 to 795 of the family's 1533-position model. The record is from RNAcentral.